UCAGAUUGAACGCUGGCGGCAGGCCUAACACAUGCAAGUCGAACGGUAACAGAACUAGCUUGCUAGUUGCUGACGAGUGGCGGACGGGUGAGUAAUGCUUGGGAAUUUGCCUUUAGGUGGGGGACAACAGUUGGAAACGACUGCUAAUACCGCAUAAUAGCUACGGCUUAAAGGGGGCUUCGGCUCUCGCCUUUAGAGAAGCCCAAGUGGGAUUAGAUAGUUGGUGUGGUAAUGGCGCACCAAGUCAACGAUCCCUAGCUGGUCUGAGAGGAUGAUCAGCCACACUGGAACUGAGACACGGUCCAGACUCCUACGGGAGGCAGCAGUGGGGAAUAUUGCACAAUGGGCGCAAGCCUGAUGCAGCCAUGCCGCGUGUGUGAAGAAGGCCUUCGGGUUGUAAAGCACUUUCAGCGAGGAGGAAAGCUUGGUGGUUAAUACCCAUUAAGUGUGACGUUACUCGCAGAAGAAGGACCGGCUAACUCCGUGCCAGCAGCCGCGGUAAUACGGAGGGUCCGAGCGUUAAUCGGAAUUACUGGGCGUAAAGCGUACGCAGGCGGCCAUUUAAGUCAGAUGUGAAAGCCCCGGGCUCAACCUGGGAACUGCAUUUGAAACUGGAUGGCUAGAGUGCGACAGAGGGUGGUAGAAUUUCAGGUGUAGCGGUGAAAUGCGUAGAGAUCUGAAGGAAUACCAAUGGCGAAGGCAGCCACCUGGGUCGACACUGACGCUCAUGUACGAAAGCGUGGGUAGCAAACAGGAUUAGAUACCCUGGUAGUCCACGCCGUAAACGAUGUCUACUAGCAGCUUGGCGCUUAAGCGCUGUU
RNAcentral lists this ribosomal RNA (821 nucleotides) under uncultured Psychrosphaera sp. Its description in RNAcentral is "bacterial SSU rRNA". It matches the Rfam family "Bacterial small subunit ribosomal RNA", at positions 24 to 843 of the family's 1533-position model. The record is from RNAcentral. Lineage: Bacteria; Pseudomonadati; Pseudomonadota; Gammaproteobacteria; Alteromonadales; Pseudoalteromonadaceae.